This 66-nucleotide transfer RNA is filed under the name Pipa carvalhoi (Carvalho's Surinam toad). RNAcentral's name for it is "tRNA-Cys". The record is from RNAcentral. Lineage: Eukaryota; Metazoa; Chordata; Amphibia; Anura; Pipidae.
AGCUCCGCGGUGACAGGCAUGUUCGAUUGCAAAUCGAAAGAAGCAAACGAGAGUUUGCCGGGGCUU